CCUACGGGAGGCUGCAGUGGGGAAUAUUGGACAAUGGGCGAAAGCCUGAUCCAGCCAUGCCGCGUGUGUGAAGAAGGCCUUCGGGUUGUAAAGCACUUUCAGUGGGGAAGAAAGCCUUGGGGCUAAUACCCUCGAGGAAGGACAUCACCCACAGAAGAAGCACCGGCUAACUCCGUGCCAGCAGCCGCGGUAAUACGGAGGGUGCGAGCGUUAAUCGGAAUUACUGGGCGUAAAGCGCGCGUAGGCGGUCUGAUAAGCCGGUUGUGAAAGCCCCGGGCUCAACCUGGGAACGGCAUCCGGAACUGUCAGGCUAGAGUGCAGGAGAGGAAGGUAGAAUUCCCGGUGUAGCGGUGAAAUGCGUAGAGAUUGGGAGGAAUACCAGUGGCGAAGGCGGCCUUCUGGACUGACACUGACGCUGAGGUGCGAAAGCGUGGGUAGCAAACAGGAUUAGAUACCCGAGUAGUC
RNAcentral lists this ribosomal RNA (465 nucleotides) under Vreelandella stevensii. Its description in RNAcentral is "partial 16S ribosomal RNA". It matches the Rfam family "Bacterial small subunit ribosomal RNA", at positions 338 to 795 of the family's 1533-position model. Lineage: Bacteria; Pseudomonadati; Pseudomonadota; Gammaproteobacteria; Oceanospirillales; Halomonadaceae. The record is from RNAcentral.